CCUUGGCUGUUCUCCUGACACUUAAGUCAGAGCAUUCUGUAGCUGUAUUUUACAGAACUGUAAUUGCACAGAUUGUUCCUCUUACAAGAGAAAUAUCCAGAGCUCUAAGAAAACAACUGAUGAAAACGGGUCUAGCUCUGUCACUCAAGCUGGAAUGCAGUGGUGCAAUCAUGGCUUACUGCGGCCUCAACCUCAUGGGUGUCAAGCCUCUGAGCCCAAGCCUGCACAUAUACAUCAAGAGGGCCUGAAGCAAGUGAAGAAUCACAAAAGAAGUGAAAAUGGCUGGUUCCUGCCUUAACUGAUGACAUUCCACCAUUGUGAUUUGUUCCUGCCCCACCUUAACUGAGUGAUUAACCUUGUGAAAUUCCUUCUCCCGGCUCAGAAGCUCCCCCACUGAGCACCUUGUGACCCCCACCCCGCCAAUAAGAGAACAACCCCCUUUGACUGUAAUUGUCCACUACCCACCCAAAUCCUAUAAAACAGCCCCACCCCUAUCUCCCCUCACUCUCUUUUUGGACUCAGCCCACCUGCACCCAGGUGAAAUAAACAGCCUUGUUGCUCACACAAAGCCUGUUUGGUGGUCUCUUCACACAGACAUGCAUGACAUUUGGUGCUGAAGACCAGGGUCAGAGAGACUCCUUUGGGGGACCAGUCCCCUGUCCUUGCCCUCACUCCGUGAGGAGACCCACCUACGACCUCAGGUCCUCAGACCAACCAGCUCAAGGAACAUCUCACCAAUUUCAAAUCGGGACCCCACUGGAAAUUGGACUGUCCAACUCACCCAGCAGCCACUCCCAGAGCCCCUGGAACUCUGGCCCAAGGCUCUCUGACUGACUCCUUCCCAGAUCUUCUCGGCUCAGCAGCUGAAGACUGACACUGCUUGAUUGCCUGGGAAGCCUAUAGGACCAUCACAGACACUUUGGAUAACUCUUACAGUGAAGGAUAUGGUCUUGCUCUGUCACCCACGCUGGAGUGCAACGGUAAAGCUCACUGCAGCCUCCACCUUCCAGGCUCAAGUGAUCCUCCCACCUCAGCCUUCUGAGUAGCUGAGACUAUAGACACGCACCACCACACUUGGUUAAUUUUGUUUUUUUACAUUUUUUGCAGACAGGGGCUUGCUAUGUUGCUCAGUUUGGUCUUGAACUUCUGGCCUCAAGUGAUUCUCUUGCCUUGGCCUCCCCAAAGUGCUGGGAUUACAGGUGUGAGCCACUGUGCCUAACCUCAAAUUCUUAAUUUACUGAGAGAAUCAGAAGAUAACCUUCACCUGCUUCCACCACGGAUUCUCCUGAGGAGGCUGUGCCUGUGCCUCACACCUGGCCUUCAACCUUCCUGCUACCAUCAACCACUUGGGCUCUCCUUAAAGUCCUGUGAAGUGGGUCCCAGCCCCUCUCACCUACUCAAGCACUCGGCUCUGCAAUUGUGCCCUCUUCCUUCCUACUGGGUAAUUCCCAUCAGUAUUUCAUAUCUCUUAAUCUUUUUUUAAAAAGAAAGAAAAAAAAGAGAAAUAUUCCCUUAAAUCCACAUCUUCUUCAAGCUACCACCCAAUUUCCCUGAUCUCCUUUAAGCCAAACUUCACGAGCCAUAUCUUUAGUUUCUGUCUCCAGCUCCUCUCAUGGGUCAUUCUCUCAUGGAUCUACUCCAGCCAGGCCAUGAUGCCCACAACUUCACUGACAGUGCUAUUACCAUGUGCUUCCAAUUGCUGAGCCCUGUGGUCAAUUCCUAGCACUCAUCUCACCUCCUUGGGGCCCUUUCUGCAAUUUCCCUUUGGGUCGUUGACAUGCUUUGGCUACACUCACUUCCAAAUCUCAUUUCGAAUUGUAAUCGCCACAUGUCAAGGGAGAGACCUGGUGGGAGGUGAUUGGAUCAUAGGGGCUGUUUCCCCCAUGCUAUCCUCAUGAUAGUGAAGGAGUUCUCAUGAGAUGUGUUUUUUUGUUUGUUUUUUGUUUUGUUUUGUUUUUGUUUGUUUUUUUUAAAGUGUCUGGAGUUUCCCCUAUGGACGCUCUCUCCUGCCACCAUGUAAGUCUUGCCUCACUUUUCGUUUGCCUUCCACCAUGAUUGUAAGUUUCCUGAGGCCUCCCCAGCUAUGUGGAACUGUGAGUCAAUUGAACCUCUUUUGUUUAUAAAUGAUCCAGUCUUAGGUAGUAUCUUUAUCACAGUGUGAAAGUGGACUGAUACAGAUGUCAUGCCACUUUGAGUUCCCUUCUUACUUCAUUGGCUGCUUCCUCUCAAACUCCUUUGGUCUGCAUCUUCCUGCCAUCUGAAUAUUGGAGCUCCCAGAGCUCCAGCCUUGGCCACUCUCCCUUUCUGGCUACACUCAAUUCCUAGGGGUCUCAUCCAAGCCCAUGGUUUUAAUGCUAUUUAUAUACUAAUGACUUAGCCCUCCCACGGGUUGUAUAGUCAGUCACUCUGCAACAUGGCAUUGCCAAUAUAUCUGCAAAUGAGCUCAAUAUUCCUUGCCCCACCACCUCAACCCAUUCAUUCUCCAGCCCUAUGCAGCUCUGUCAGUGGCAAUGCCAGCCUUUUAGUGGCUCAGGACAAAUCUCUGAAGUCAUCUUGGAUUCCUCUACUUCUCUCACAUCCUACAUGCAUUCCUUUAAGUCCUUUUGGCUCCAUCGAAAAAAAUGUGUCUGGAGCCUGACCACUUGUCCCCACCUCCACAACACCUCCACACCCAAGCCACCAGUGUCUCUGUCCUAGAUUAUUUCAGUAGCCUCCGAAUGAGCCUGUCAGUCUUCACUCUUACCCCCACAGGCUAUUUUUCACACAGCAGCCGAAAUAAUCCUUAUAAAGUAUAAACCAGAUCAUAUUACUUUUCUGCUUGGAGCCCUCCAGCGACACAUCAUCUCAGAAUCAAUCCAACUGCUUGGCUAUGGCUGACAAUGGGCAUCACUUCCUUUCACUCUCUGAGACCUCUGGCACCUUGCAUUGUCUGGAUGGGCUUGGUACUUGUAUUACCAGAAAGAGGUCCUGAUCUAGACCCCAAGAGGCGGCUGUUGGACCUCAUGCAAGAAAGAAUUCAGGGCAAGUCCAUAAAGUGAAAGCAAGUUUAUUAAGAAAGUAAAGAAAUAAAAGAAUGGCUAUUCCAUAGGCAGAGCAGUGGCCUGGGCUGCUCAACUGAGCAUACUUAUAGUUAUUUCUUGAUUAUAUGCUACACAAGAGGUGGAUUAAUCAUGAGUUUUCUGGGAAAGGGGUGGGCAAUUCCUGGAACUGAGGGUUCCUCUCCCUUUUAGACCAUAGGGUUAACUUCUUGACGUUGCCAUGGCAUUUGUAAACUGUCGUGGUGCUGGUGAGAAUAUCUUUCAGCAUGCUAAUGCCUUAUAAUUAGAGUAUAGUAAGCAGUGAGGAUGACCAGAAGUCACUUUCGUCACCAUCUUGGUUAUGGUGGGUUUUAGCCAGCUUCUUUACCACAUCCUGUUUUAUCAGCAAGGUCUUUAUCACUUGCACCUUGUGGCCAACCUCCUAUCUCAUCCCAUAACUAAGAAAGCCUAACCUCCUGAGAAUGCAGCCCAGUAGGUCUCAGCCUUAUUUUACCCAGCCACUUUUCAAGAUGGAGUCUGUUUGGUUUAAAUGCCUCUGACGCUUGUCGUUCCCUGUGCUGGAAUGUUCUUACUCAGAUACCCACGCAGCUGCCUUCAAGUCUCUGUUUAAAUCGUAUUUCAUGAGAAAAGCCUUUCACUUCCUUUUAGACAAAAGAGUGCCACCCCAGGGAGGAAUGCCAGGGUCCCAUAGAGGGAGACCGACAGUGAAGUGGAGCCUGCCAUGAAUUCACCAAAGGCCAUUCUCCCUUUCUUCCAGAGGAAUAGCGUUUAGCUGGGCCUACGGCUACCUACCUAAAGACUGCACCUCUUAGUCACCCUUGUGGCUAGGUGUGGCCACGUGACAAUGGAAUGUAAGUGGAAGUGAUGUAUGCAACUUGGGUUCAUUGGUUUUAAAAAAAAUAUGACCACCCUACAUUUCCACUCUUUGUCUUAUCUGUGAAUGGGAACAUGGCUGUGUCUGCAGCCAGACUUUGUGCAGCAAAGGACAAGGCCCUACGGGAAGGUGGAGAAACAAGAUGGAACAACUUGGACCCAACAACUUGGAUCCCUAUGUGGCCAUGUGGAGUCAUCUCACCCACCUGGGCCACUCACCCCGAAGACUGUUGUGUGAGGGUGAAAUAAACUUCUGUAUCACUAGCCCCUGCAUUUCAGAAAUUCUUUGUUAUGGCAGUUUUGCCUUUAUCCUAACACAGACAGCAAAGUAUCUUCUGUGGCCCCAUGACUAAUGUCGUUGUUUAAACGCAUUAUAAAAACUAUAUAAAUAAAAUAUUAAAAAUCAA
Gorilla gorilla gorilla (western lowland gorilla) is the source of this 4318-nucleotide long non-coding RNA. RefSeq lists it as uncharacterized. NCBI's taxonomy places the organism in Eukaryota, Metazoa, Chordata, Mammalia, Primates, Hominidae. The transcript has 4 exons. The record is from RefSeq and is a predicted model, not a curated record.